RNAcentral lists this ribosomal RNA (2927 nucleotides) under Clostridiaceae bacterium HSG29. RNAcentral's name for it is "23S ribosomal RNA". It matches the Rfam family "Bacterial large subunit ribosomal RNA". Lineage: Bacteria; Bacillati; Bacillota; Clostridia; Eubacteriales; Clostridiaceae. The record is from RNAcentral.
GAUCAAGUUAUUAAGAGCAUAGGGUGAAUACCUUGGCACUGAGAGGCGAAGAAGGACGUGAUAAGCUGCGAAAAGCUACGGGGAACUGCAAACGAGUUUAGAUCCGUAGAUAUCCGAAUGGGGCAACCCAGCUGUAGUAAUGUGCAGUUAUCUAUAUGUGAAUACAUAGCAUAUAGAGGCGAACCCGGCGAACUGAAACAUCUAAGUAACCGGAGGAAGAGAAAGAAAAAUAUCGAUUUCCUAAGUAGCGGCGAGCGAAACGGAAAGAGCCCAAACCAUAGACUGCGGUUUAUGGGGUAGUGGGCAGUCAACGAAGUAAGACGAAUAAUCUAACCAAAUACGCACUGGAAAGGCGAACCGAAGAAGGUGAUAGUCCUGUAGGUGAAAGAUUAGGAGUAAGAAAGACUGACCCGGAGUACCACGGAACACGAGAAAUUUUGUGGGAAGCAAGGAGGACCAUCUCCGAAGGCUAAAUACUACUCAGUGACCGAUAGCGCAUAGUACCGUGAGGGAAAGGUGAAAAGAACCCCGAGAGGGGAGUGAAAUAGAAUAUGAAACCCUAUGUUUACAAGCAACGGAAGCACUUUAUAUGUGCAACCGUGUACUUUUUGUAAAACGGGCCAACGAGUUACGAUAUGAAGCGAGGUUAAGAUGUUAAGCAUCGGAGCCGCAGCGAAAGCGAGUCUUAAUAGGGCGAAAGUUUUGUGUCGUAGACCCGAAACCGGGCGAUCUAUCCAUGAGCAGGGUGAAGCAAAAGUAAAAUUUUGUGGAGGCCCGAACCCAUAUCAGUUGAAAAUGGUUGGGAUGACUUGUGGAUAGGGGUGAAAUUCCAAUCGAGCCCGGAGAUAGCUGGUACUCUCCGAAAUAGCUUUAGGGCUAGCCUCAAGAGAUUAGAUAUGGAGGUAGAGCAGACUGAUUACCUGAGGGGCUUUCAACGGCUACCGAAGGUUAUCAAACUCCGAAUGCCAUAAUCUUAAAACUUGGGAGUCAGACUAUGUGCGAUAAGGUUCAUAGUCGAAAGGGAAAGAGCCCAGACCAUCAGCUAAGGUCCCUAAAUAUAAAUUAAGUGGGAAAGGAAGUGGUGUUGCAUAGACAACUAGGAUGUUGGCUUAGAAGCAGCAAUUCAUUUAAAGAGUGCGUAAUAGCUCACUAGUCGAGUGAUGUUGCACCUAAAAUUACCGGGGCUUAAAUUUAUUACCGAAGCUAUGGAUCACGUAAGUGGUGGUAGGAGAGCAUUGUGUAUAGGACGAAGCUAGACCGUAAGGACUGGUGGACGAUACACAAGAGAGAAUGUUGGCAUGAGUAACGAGAGUAAGGUGAGAAUCCUUACCGCCGAAAAUCUAAGGUUUCCUGAGGAAGGUUCGUCCUCUCAGGGUAAGUCAGGGCCUAAGCCGAGGACGAAAGUCGUAGGCGAUGGACAACAGGUUAAGAUUCCUGUACCACCGACAAUCGUUAGAGAGAAGCAAGGAAGCAGAAGGAAAAGCUUAGCCUGGCGAAGGUAGACCAGGUACAAGCUGCGAGCGAGUGAUCAUAGGCAAAUCCGUGAUUACGUUGGAUGUAAGCAGUUACGUGGAGCGAAAAUAAGUAGCGAAGAAGUAGAUUCACACUGUCAAGAAAAGUUGCUAUCGAGAUUGAAGGUGCCUGUACCGCAAACCGACACAGGUAGAUGGAUAGAGAAUAUUAAGGCGCGCGAGAUAACUAUUGUUAAGGAACUCGGCAAAAUAACCCCGUAACUUCGGGAGAAGGGGUACCACACGCAUGUGCAAGCAUGAAGUGGUUGCAAAAACAAGACACAAACGACUGUUUACCAAAAACACAGGUCUCUGCUAAAUCGAGAGAUGAAGUAUAGGGGCUGACGCCUGCCCGGUGCUGGAAGGUUAAGAGGAAGAGUUAGCGUAAGCGAAGCUUGGAAUUGAAGCCCCAGUGAACGGCGGCCGUAACUAUAACGGUCCUAAGGUAGCGAAAUUCCUUGUCGGGUAAGUUCCGACCCGCACGAAAGGCGUAACGAUUUGUGUACUGUCUCAACAAUAGGCUCGGUGAAAUUGUAGUACCGGUAAAGAUGCCGGUUACCCGCAGCAAGACGGAAAGACCCCGUGGAGCUUUACUGCAGCUUGAUAUUGAAAUUUGGUGUAUAAUGUACAGAAUAGGUGGAAGACGAAGAAAUGAGUGCACAAGCAUUCAGGGAGUCGCAAUGUGGAAUACCACUCUUUAUGCAUCAGGUUUCUAACUAUGUACUGUAAUCCAGUACUAGGACAAUGUCAGGUGGGCAGUUUGACUGGGGCGGUCGCCUCCUAAAGAGUAACGGAGGCGCUCAAAGGUUCUCUCAGCACGGACGGAAAUCGUGCAAAGAGCGCAAAGGCAAAAGAGAGCUUGAUUGCGAGACAUACAGGUCGAGCAAGUACGAAAGUAGGACUUAGUGAUCCGGUGGCGCCGCAUGGAAGGGCCAUCGCUCAACGGAUAAAAGCUACCCCGGGGAUAACAGGCUUAUCUCCCCCAAGAGUUCACAUCGACGGGGAGGUUUGGCACCUCGAUGUCGGCUCGUCUCAUCCUGGAGCUGAAGCAGGUUCCAAGGGUUGGGCUGUUCGCCCAUUAAAGAGGCACGCGAGCUGGGUUCAGAACGUCGUGAGACAGUUCGGUCCCUAUCUGCUGUGGGCGUAGGAAAUUUGAAUAGAUUUGUACCUAGUACGAGAGGACCGGUAUGAACGUACCGCUGGUGUAUCAGUUGUUCCGCCAGGAGCAUAGCUGAGUAGCUAAGUACGGAAGGGAUAAGCGCUGAAAGCAUCUAAGCGCGAAGCCUACUAUAAGAUGAGAUUUCCCAUCAAGAAAUUGAGUAAGAUUCCAGAAAGACUAUCUGGUAGAUAGGUCUGAGGUGAAAGUGCAGUAAUGUAUUGAGCUGACAGAUACUAAUAGAUCGAGGACUUGAUCUA